RNAcentral lists this ribosomal RNA (667 nucleotides) under uncultured fungus. RNAcentral's name for it is "eukaryotic LSU rRNA". It matches the Rfam family "Eukaryotic large subunit ribosomal RNA", at positions 24 to 664 of the family's 3401-position model. Lineage: Eukaryota; Fungi. The record is from RNAcentral.
CCCGCUGAACUUAAGCAUAUCAAUAAGCGGAGGAAAAGAAACUAACAAGGAUUCCCCUAGUAACUGCGAGUGAAGCGGGAAAAGCUCAAAUUUAAAAUCUGGUGGCCUCUGGUCAUCCGAGUUGUAAUUUAGAGAAGCGUCUUCCGCGCUGGACCAUGCACAAGUCUCCUGGAAUGGAGCGUCAUAGAGGGUGAGAAUCCCGUCUUUGGCAUGGAUGCACCAGGGCUUCUGUGAUGCGCUCUCAAAGAGUCGAGUUGUUUGGGAAUGCAGCUCAAAAUGGGUGGUGAACUCCAUCUAAAGCUAAAUAUUGGCGAGAGACCGAUAGCGAACAAGUACCGUGAGGGAAAGAUGAAAAGCACUUUGGAAAGAGAGUGAAACAGUACGUGAAAUUGUUGAAAGGGAAACGCUUGAAGUCAGUCGCGUCGACCGAGACUCAGCCUCGCCUUGGCUUGGUGUACUUCUCGGCUGACGGGUCAGUGUCAAUUUUGGGCCUCGGAUAAUGACAAGGGAAAGGUGGCACCUUUAUAAGUGUGUUAUAGUCUCCUGUCGGAUGCGAGGGUCGGGAUUGAGGAACUCAGCACGCGCCUUUUGGUGUCGGGGCUUCGGCCUACGCUACGUGCUUAGGAUGCUGGCAUAAUGGCUUUAAACGACCCGUCUUGAAACACGG